UAGCAUACCAUGGGUGGCGAGUGGCGGACGGGUGAGGAAUACAUCGGAAUCUACCUUUUCGUGGGGGAUAACGUAGGGAAACUUACGCUAAUACCGCAUACGACCUUAGGGUGAAAGCGGAGGACCUUCGGGCUUCGCGCGGAUAGAUGAGCCGAUGUCGGAUUAGCUAGUUGGCGGGGUAAAGGCCCACCAAGGCGACGAUCCGUAGCUGGUCUGAGAGGAUGAUCAGCCACACUGGAACUGAGACACGGUCCAGACUCCUACGGGAGGCAGCAGUGGGGAAUAUUGGACAAUGGGCGCAAGCCUGAUCCAGCCAUGCCGCGUGGGUGAAGAAGGCCUUCGGGUUGUAAAGCCCUUUUGUUGGGAAAGAAAAGCAGUCGGUUAAUACCCGAUUGUUCUGACGGUACCCAAAGAAUAAGCACCGGCUAACUUCGUGCCAGCAGCCGCGGUAAUACGAAGGGUGCAAGCGUUACUCGGAAUUACUGGGCGUAAAGCGUGCGUAGGUGGUUGUUUAAGUCCGUUGUGAAAGCCCUGGGCUCAACCUGGGAAUUGCAGUGGAUACUGGGCAACUAGAGUGUGGUAGAGGAUGGCGGAAUUCCCGGUGUAGCAGUGAAAUGCGUAGAGAUCGGGAGGAACAUCUGUGGCGAAGG
RNAcentral lists this ribosomal RNA (650 nucleotides) under Xanthomonas sp. EECC-83. RNAcentral describes it as "bacterial SSU rRNA". It matches the Rfam family "Bacterial small subunit ribosomal RNA", at positions 76 to 721 of the family's 1533-position model. Lineage: Bacteria; Pseudomonadati; Pseudomonadota; Gammaproteobacteria; Lysobacterales; Lysobacteraceae. The record is from RNAcentral.